RNAcentral lists this ribosomal RNA (447 nucleotides) under uncultured bacterium. RNAcentral's name for it is "partial 16S ribosomal RNA". It matches the Rfam family "Bacterial small subunit ribosomal RNA", at positions 29 to 523 of the family's 1533-position model. The record is from RNAcentral.
AACGAACGCUGGCGGCAGGCUUAACACAUGCAAGUCGAGCGCCCCGCAAGGGGAGCGGCAGACGGGUGAGUAACACGUGGGAACAUACCCUUUACUACGGAACAACUCCGGGAAACUGGAGCUAAUACCGUAUGUGCCCUUUGGGGGAAAGAUUUAUCGGUAAAGGAUUGGCCCGCGUUGGAUUAGCUAGUUGGUGGGGUAAAGGCCUACCAAGGCGACGAUCCAUAGCUGGUCUGAGAGGAUGAUCAGCCACAUUGGGACUGAGACACGGCCCAAACUCCUACGGGAGGCAGCAGUGGGGAAUAUUGGACAAUGGGCGCAAGCUUGAUCCAGCCAUGCCGCGUGAGUGAUGAAGGCCUUAGGGUUGUAAAGCUCUUUCACCGAUGAAGAUAAUGACGGUAGUCGGAGAAGAAGCCCCGGCUAACCUCGUGCCAGCCGCCGCGGUAA